UGGAGCCAGAGCAAGUAUUGCCUGAUGGAGGAGCACCCCACAAGGUGCAGGAAUGUGAGCCUUUAUACUGGCACUUUGCCCAGUCAGCAGCCUCCAGUUAACCUGCAAAGGCUGUAAUUUCAGGUGAAGUUGUUCUCUGCAGGUGAGCAGACCUCAGCUGGAGGCCGUCUACUGAUCUCAUUCCCUACAGGUAGGAAGUAAGUCUUCAGAGAAUCUCAGCAAGCCACCUCUGCGUCCACCAAAGAACACCAGCCUCAAAGUACAAUGAAGUGAAAGUGAUUAGCAACUGCUACACAUUUUCCUUGUUUACGGUAUAAAUUCCAUGAAGAUGGGGACAUUAGCCUUCAAUCACAUAGAAGUUACAUGAAAUAAGUUGAAUUUGAAGCCACACAGCCUAACUCCAGGGACUGUGUACUUAACUGUACACAGGUAUAUUCAGCAAAAUGAACCUCAUGUUUGGACCUAGAGCAAAGAUGGAAUCUUAAAGCCAAAGGAAUAAAGAACCCUGAUAAAGGUUGAGUUUUGCCUGCAUGAACAUUGAAGACGACGACAGAGAACUCUGUUAAAGUUAUCACAGGCUAAUGUGAUCUGAGAUUUAUUUUCAACGUUGCCUGAGGGCAGAAAUAUGAAAAAAUAUUCAAGUACUUGAAAAUAUAACAUUUAGUAAUGAUAAUAUGAUAAUUAAAGAUAAGAUAUUUGAGGGUAGAUAAUAGGAAAUUUAUUUUUAAUUUAUCGAUAUAUGUUUAAAUGAAAAAGAAUACAUGUAUUAGGAAAAGUUUUUCAUUACCUAUAUCACAUUUGAUCAGGUUGAUUUAUUUAAUAUUUUAUACGUCAGCCCAUAAAGCUAAGAUACAUUUUACAUCAGGCUGGAGUGGCUGCGUUUGAAAAGAACACCAGUUAAUUUAUCUUAUAACUUGUUCUCUAUUUUAUUUUUUGUUAAGAACAUGAGUCAGAAAGUCAUCUGCCUUCUGAAACUCAAGAAUAAAACACAAAAUGCCAAUUUUGUGAAUAUGAAUGAGUACCAAGCUGUCUCUAAAGGACAACUGAACUAUUAUCAGUUUUUUUGUAGAUAGUUCGAAAUGAAUAGAUUGUUCUCUGACAAAAGAAUCAUUUCAAUCAGAAAAAAAAAAGAGCUGAGUUAUUGAUAGGAAUAUCUGUUGAAAUACAAUCAAAUUGAGAAAGAAAUUCAUUAUAGUUUCUCAUUAUAUCAGUGCCGGCUAAAUUAUAGUCAAAGUCAAAGGUGGUUAAUUUAGUUAAAAUUAGAUUUUUUAAUGUUUACUUUCUUCUAGUAUUUGAGCUAAAUAUUAUCUUGGAAGACUAACAAUCUAUGUCAAAUAGUCUUUCCCCCUAUAAUUAGAUUAAUAUUGAUUUGCUACAGUCAGAUCAAGUGAAAUAGUCAUAACAGCUUUUUUUAAAUGCAACUGAAUUACUGUGAAAAUUAUUGAUAACUACUAAUCACUUAGGAACAGAGAUCUAGAUAAAUGUCAAGUUAACUACAUAAUUCUUCUAUUUGAAUAUGCAAUAAAAGGUAACUUAAUGUGUUUUAAAUUAAACUAUCUUAAUUAUGUA
Canis lupus familiaris (dog) is the source of this 1569-nucleotide long non-coding RNA. RefSeq lists it as uncharacterized. The record is from RefSeq and is a predicted model, not a curated record. The transcript is spliced from 5 exons. NCBI's taxonomy places the organism in Eukaryota, Metazoa, Chordata, Mammalia, Carnivora, Canidae.